GAUGAACGCUGGCGGCGUGCCUAAUACAUGCAAGUCGAGCGAACAGAUGAGGAGCUUGCUCCUCUGACGUUAGCGGCGGACGGGUGAGUAACACGUGGAUAACCUACCUAUAAGACUGGGAUAACCUCGGGAAACCGGAGCUAAUACCGGAUAAUAUAUUGAACCGCAUGGUUCAAUAGUGAAAGACGGUUUUGCUGUCACUUAUAGAUGGAUCCGCGCCGCAUUAGCUAGUUGGUAAGGUAACGGCUUACCAAGGCGACGAUGCGUAGCCGACCUGAGAGGGUGAUCGGCCACACUGGAACUGAGACACGGUCCAGACUCCUACAGGAGGCAGCAGUAGGGAAUCUUCCGCAAUGGGCGAAAGCCUGACGGAGCAACGCCGCGUGAGUGAUGAAGGUCUUCGGAUCGUAAAACUCUGUUAUUAGGGAAGAACAAAUGUGUAAGUAACUAUGCACGUCUUGACGGUACCUAAUCAGAAAGCCACGGCUAACUACGUG
RNAcentral lists this ribosomal RNA (497 nucleotides) under uncultured bacterium. Its description in RNAcentral is "partial 16S ribosomal RNA". It matches the Rfam family "Bacterial small subunit ribosomal RNA", at positions 28 to 507 of the family's 1533-position model. The record is from RNAcentral.